GAUGAAGAACGUAGCGAAAUGCGAUACGUAGUGUGAAUUGCAGAAUUCAGUGAAUCAUCGAAUCUUUGAACGCACAUUGCGCCCGCUAGUAUUCUGGCGGGCAUGCCUGUCCGAGCGUCAUUAUAACCCUCGAGACCCCGCUAGCCUUCCGGGCCGGCGCCGGGCUCUCGGUGUUGGGGAUCGGCCCCGUGCCGCCCCCGAAAUUUAGUGGCGGUCCUGCCGUGUGCUCCUCUGCGUAGUAAAUCUAUUCCUCGCAGUUGGACAACGGUGAGGCCAUGCCGUAAAACCCCCUACCACAUCAAGGUUGACCUCGGAUCAGGUAGGAAUACCCGCUGAACUUAAGCAUAUCAAUAAGCGGAGGA
This 362-nucleotide unclassified non-coding RNA is filed under the name soil metagenome. Its description in RNAcentral is "partial contains 5.8S ribosomal RNA, internal transcribed spacer 2, and large subunit ribosomal RNA". The stretch from base 1 to 120 matches the Rfam family "5.8S ribosomal RNA", at positions 35 to 154 of the family's 154-position model. The record is from RNAcentral.